This 328-nucleotide ribosomal RNA is filed under the name uncultured eukaryote. RNAcentral describes it as "partial 18S ribosomal RNA". It matches the Rfam family "Eukaryotic small subunit ribosomal RNA", at positions 1470 to 1796 of the family's 1831-position model. The record is from RNAcentral.
CCCUUAGAUGUCCUGGGCCGCACGCGCGCUACACUGAUGCAUGCAACGAGUUUAUAACCUUGGCCUGAAAGGUCUGGGUAAUCUUUUGAACGUGCAUCGUGAUAGGGAUAGAUUAUUGCAAUUGUUAAUCUUGAACGAGGAAUUCCUAGUAAACGCGAGUCGUCAGCUCGCAUUGAUUACGUCCCUGCCCUUUGUACACACCGCCCGUCGCACCUACCGAUUGAAUGGUUCGGUGAAGAUCUCGGACUUCGAUAUUUAUUCUUUAUUGAGUUUAUAUUGUGGGAAGUUAUCUAAACCUCAUCAUUUAGAGGAAGGUGAAGUCGUAACA